This 1092-nucleotide ribosomal RNA is filed under the name uncultured organism. RNAcentral describes it as "bacterial SSU rRNA". It matches the Rfam family "Bacterial small subunit ribosomal RNA", at positions 362 to 1486 of the family's 1533-position model. The record is from RNAcentral.
UAUUGCCCAAUGGGCGCCGGCCUGAGGCAGCAACGCCGCGUGGAGGAGGACGGUUUUCGGAUUGUAAACUCCUUUUCUGGGGGAAGAGGCAGGACGGUACCCCAGGAAUAAGUCUCGGCUAACUACGUGCCAGCAGCCGCGGUAAAACGUAGGAGGCGAGCGUUAUCCGGAUUUACUGGGCGUAAAGCGCGUGCAGGCGGUGGCUUAAGUCAUGCGUGAAAGCUCCCGGCUCAACUGGGAGAGGACGUAUGAGACUGGGUCACUGGAGACAGGUAGAGGCCUACGGAAUUCCGGGUGGAGUGGUGAAAUGCGUAGAGAUCCGGAGGAACAUCAGUGGCGAAGGCGGUAGGCUGGGCCUGAUCUGACGCUCAGACGCGAAAGCAUGGGGAGCGAACGGGAUUAGAAACCCCGGUAGUCCAUGCCGUAAACGAUGCAAACUAAGUGUCAGCGACCAAUGGUUGUUGGUGCUGGAGCAAACGCGAUAAGUUUGCCGCCUGGGGAGUACGGCCGCAAGGCUAAAACUCAAAGGAAUUGACGGGGGCCCGCACAAGCAGCGGAGCGUGUGGUUUAAUUCGAGGCUACACGAAGAACCUUACCUGGGCUUGACAUCUAGGUGGUAGUGAACCGAAAGGGGAGCGACCUUCGGGAGCCUAGACAGGUGCUGCAUGGCUGUCGUCAGCUCGUGCCGUGAGGUGUUCGGUUAAGUCCGAAAACGAGCGCAACCCCUAGUGCCAGUUACAAGUGUCUGGCGCGACUGCCCGGGGGAACCGGGAGGAAGGUGGGGAUGACGUCAAGUCAGCAUGGCCUUGAUGUCCAGGGCUACACACACGCUACAAUGGCCGGUACAACAGGCAGCCAAGCCGCGAGGCGGAGCGAACCCAGGAAAGCCGGUCACAGUUCGGAUUGCAGGCUGCAACUCGCCUGCAUGAAGUGGGAGUUGCUAGUAAACGUGGGUCAGCUAUACCGCGUUGAUACGUUCCCGGGCCUUGUACACACCGCCCGUCACGUCAUGGAAGCUGGUCAUGCCUGAAGUCGGUGGGCUAACCGGAAGGAGGCAGCCGCCGAAGGCAGGGCUGGUGACUGGGACGAAGU